Oxyura jamaicensis (ruddy duck) is the source of this 2035-nucleotide long non-coding RNA. RefSeq lists it as uncharacterized. Lineage: Eukaryota; Metazoa; Chordata; Aves; Anseriformes; Anatidae. The transcript is spliced from 3 exons. The record is from RefSeq and is a predicted model, not a curated record.
GGAUCUGCACUUUUAAAGACGGAAAGACAAGUAUGUGUCAGAAUGUUGCUUUGUGGUGUAUUGGUUUGAUGCUCCCUUCUUCCUAUGAAAAUGUAGAGAAAAAGUGGGACAUAAUCAUCGCAAGCCAGGGGCCUUCAGGCAAUCCAGGGACAACUUCUGACAGGUUCAAGCUGAGGUAUUAAUAAAUUUCAUGGAGUGCAGAUUUCUACAAUCUCUCUUGGGAUUGCAAAACUAGGCUGCAAAUGAGAGGACUCAGCAUCUCUGCAGAUAAGUAAUUUCAAGGCAAGAUACACGAGCUUGUGAUCAUCAGGCUAAAUAAGCAAAGCAGUCAUUUCUGGUUUUCCUGCAUGGAUAUGUCCCUCUCACCUUAUGUGAUCAAAUGGCCAUUACGAUUACAGAGGGAGAAAAAACCAUCGCAGAUUAGAGAUGUCUCUAGAAAAGCCUAGAAAGUGAUCUAACACUUGUUUGAGGACAAUUGUUGAAAAGAAUGUUUGCAGUUCUUUCAAUAUUCUCCACGGUGCUGAGAACUAAAGAACUGCAUGCCUGAAGAACUGAGAGAGCAAAGGCAAUGUGUAACAAGCAGAUUGAAGCCUCGGUGGCCUCACAAAAACGCCAACAGAUAAUGGAGUUUAUUUUUGUUUCUGGAAUACCGUCCUCGCAGUUUUUAUACUUGGAGAAAGGUUUGCAGAAACACCACAAAGACUACCUAAGGAACAGAAUAGGUGACUUCCCGCUCCAAAUCACUAAUGGCACUUCUCUAUUCAGAUUUGAGAUCAUCGUGCUUAUAAGGCCCUUGCUGCGAGGUGGGAUCAGGACUUCAGUCAAACCCUGCCUCCCAGAGCUCUGAAAGAACAUGGCCACACUACCAUGUACAAAGACGUGAAAAACAGAAAGGUAAAGUCUUCUCACCUUUAAUCAUAACAACAUGCUUAUUAACAUAUGCAGAAUCAAGUGGAGUUACAGCUUCAUCCCAUUACAAUUCUUUCUUUUUGCCUCCAUCAGACUGUAAUGAUUUGUAGUUUUAUCACGCUGCCACUUUUAGAACAGCAAACAAGCAUACACAUGAGAAACAUAACAGGAUGUACCCUAGGUUACCAGGACAUUUUAGUUCCAUAAUCAGUAUUUCAGCAGAACACCCUUUAUAAACUGGAUAUUGUCUAUCUAUAAUCCUUAGGUAGAAGGAUGUUCAAGACUUUGCAAUACAUCUUCUGCAGCUGUUGAUUAUUAUAAUGGUAACAACCUUCUUUCUCUCCAAGUUUUAGAGGUACCAAAUACCAAAGUUAUCUAUGCUUUCUCCAUUAUGACACUUAUCCAUAAACAUUCAAAAUCAUGUAUUUCUCACUUUUCUGUGAGUUGGAAAGAAAUACACACACGCACACAGAGCGCAUGUGGUUGAUACAUUUUUAUUUACAGUGUCAUUCACCACCCUUUUAAUCCACGCAUACAAUCCUCAGUAGGUUGAAAAGCACCAGUCUUAUAUCUCAUCUCUUUCUCCUAGGGUUCCAUAAUUUCAAGUAAGUCAAAUUAUGCAUAUAAAUGAGCAAUUCAAAAUCUUUUCACUUAUUAGUCAGGUCCCUAAUCUCUAUGUACAGACUGUUCAAAACAUAAAUUCCUUUCAGUUCUUUGUUGAGAACAAAAUUAAUCAAAGCAGUAACUAGAUUCGGGCUGAAAUUAAUGUUCAUUUAUUCAUCUCUUUCUUCACUCCUCUUCUGUUACAAGUCCGUGAUUAUAGCCUGUCUUGCAAGGUCUCCACUGACUUUACUGAAAGCUAUGCACAUCUUACAAUCCUUUUACCCUUCAACCACUUAUAAAUAAACUCAUUAUUCCACCAAAUCAAAACCUUUUAGGAAACUAGCUGUUUCAUUCAUAAGACAGGAGAAAAAUGAGAAAAAUCAUUUCAACUUUCUUCCCCUUCAGCUACUCAGAUUUUUUUUCCAUGCAGACCAAAGAGUUAUGCUGUGAAAUGAUGUUUUAACAGUUACUUUUGUAAUCUGUCAGUUAGCUCUUGCCCAGUGAUAUCUGAAAAGAAUACAAA